Molecule: transfer RNA, 74 nt
Filed under: Flavonifractor plautii
Lineage: Bacteria; Bacillati; Bacillota; Clostridia; Eubacteriales; Oscillospiraceae
Also listed under: 40 other names
Description: tRNA-Gln
Rfam family: tRNA
About the family: Transfer RNA (tRNA) molecules are approximately 80 nucleotides in length. Their secondary structure includes four short double-helical elements and three loops (D, anti-codon, and T loops).
Source: RNAcentral
AGCGGGUUUGUGUAAGGGUAGCACAGCAGACUCUGACUCUGUAUGUGAGGGUUCGAAUCCUUCACCCGCUGCCA